Non-coding RNA from Perkinsus marinus ATCC 50983, 72 nucleotides. The record is from Rfam. NCBI's taxonomy places the organism in Eukaryota, Perkinsozoa, Perkinsida, Perkinsidae.
GGUUUUAUGGUGUAACGGUUAGCACUCCAGAUUCUGAAUCUGGCGAUCUGGGUUCAAAUCCCGGUAAAACCU